This 214-nucleotide non-coding RNA is filed under the name Fictibacillus enclensis. RNAcentral's name for it is "T-box sequence". It matches the Rfam family "T-box leader". From Rfam's summary of the family: Uncharged tRNA acts as the effector for transcription antitermination of genes in the T-box leader family. T-boxes are found upstream of many aminoacyl-tRNA synthetase genes and some amino acid biosynthetic genes usually in Gram-positive bacteria. The record is from RNAcentral. Lineage: Bacteria; Bacillati; Bacillota; Bacilli; Caryophanales; Fictibacillaceae.
UAAGAAGCGAAGAUAGGAAUGAGUAGUAACUGUCUCCCUGUUUCAGAAAGCUGGUGGCCGCUGCAAACCAGUACACAGACGGAUUAUGAAGUACACCCUGGAGCUUUCUUUGUGAACAUACAGUAGCAAAGACCGGUUGAAAAGCCGUUAACCGAUAUGAGUGGAAGGAUUUUUCCUUCAACAAGGGUGGUACCGCGAUAAUCACGUCCCUUAU